ACGGGAGGCAGCAGUGGGGAAUAUUGCACAAUGGGGGAAACCCUGAUGCAGCGAUGCCGCGUGAAGGAUGAAGGGUUUCGGCUCGUAAACUUUUAUCGAUAGUGAAGAAACAAAUGACGGUAACUAAGUAAGAAGCUCCGGCUAACUAUGUGCCAGCAGCCGCGGUAAUACAUAGGGAGCAAGCGUUAUCCGGAUUUACUGGGUGUAAAGGGUGCGUAGGCGGCAUGGUAAGUCAGUCGUUAAAGACCAGAGCUUAACUCUGGACCAGCGAUUGAAACUAUCAAGCUAGAGUACAGGAGAGGUUAGUGGAAUUCCUAGUGUAGCGGUGAAAUGCGUAGAUAUUAGGAGGAACACCAGUGGCGAAGGCGGCUUACUGGACGAUAACUGACGUUGAGGCUCGAAAGCGUGGGGAGCAAACAGGAUUAGAUACCCUGGUA
This 437-nucleotide ribosomal RNA is filed under the name uncultured Clostridium sp. RNAcentral's name for it is "partial 16S ribosomal RNA". It matches the Rfam family "Bacterial small subunit ribosomal RNA", at positions 341 to 792 of the family's 1533-position model. Lineage: Bacteria; Bacillati; Bacillota; Clostridia; Eubacteriales; Clostridiaceae. The record is from RNAcentral.